Molecule: ribosomal RNA, 468 nt
Filed under: uncultured bacterium
Lineage: Bacteria
Description: partial 16S ribosomal RNA
Rfam family: Bacterial small subunit ribosomal RNA
Source: RNAcentral
GACGAACGCUGGCGGCGUGCUUAACACAUGCAAGUCGAACGGAAAGGCCCUGCUUUUGUGGGGUGCUCGAGUGGCGAACGGGUGAGUAACACGUGAGUAUCCUGUCCCUGUCUUUGGGAUAACUUCAGGAAACUGGGGCUAAUACCGGAUAGGAGCUCCUGCUGCAUGGUGGGGGUUGGAAAGUUUCGGCGGUUGGGGAUGGACUCGCGGCUUAUCAGCUUGUUGGUGGGGUAGUGGCUUACCAAGGUUUUGACGGGUAGCCGGCCUGAGAGGGUGACCGGCCACAUUGGGACUGAGAUACGGCCCAGACUCCUACGGGAGGCAGCAGUGGGGAAUAUUGCACAAUGGGCGGAAGCCUGAUGCAGCAACGCCGCGUGCGGGAUGACGGCCUUCGGGUUGUAAACCGCUUUCGCCUGUGACGAAGCGUGAGUGACGGUAAUGGGUAAAGAAGCACCGGCUAACUACGUG